GAUGAACGCUGGCGGCGUGCCUAUUACAUGCAAGUCGAGCGAACGGACGAGAAGCUUGCUUUUCUGAUGUUGGCGGCGGACGGGUGAGUAACACGUGGAUAACCUACCUAUAAGACUGGGAUAACUUCGGGAAACCGGAGCUAAUACCGGCUAAUAUUUUGAACCGCAUGGUUCAAAAGUGAAAGACGGUCUUUCUGUCACUUAUAGAUGGAUCCGCGCUGCAUUAGCUAGUUGGUAAGGUAACGGCUUACCAAGGCAACGAUGCAUAGCCGACCUGAGAGGGUGAUCGGCCACACUGGAACUGAGACACGGCCCAGACUCCUACGGGAGGCAGCAGUAGGGAAUCUUACGCAAUGGGCGAAAGCCUGAUGGAGCAACGCCGCGUGAGUGAUGAAGGUCUUCGGGUCGUAAAGCUCUGUUGUUAGGGAAGAACAUAUGUGCAAGUAACUGUGCAGAUCAUGACGGUACCUAAUCAGAAAGCCCCGGCUAACUACGUG
This 497-nucleotide ribosomal RNA is filed under the name uncultured bacterium. Its description in RNAcentral is "partial 16S ribosomal RNA". It matches the Rfam family "Bacterial small subunit ribosomal RNA", at positions 28 to 507 of the family's 1533-position model. The record is from RNAcentral.